Molecule: long non-coding RNA, 1054 nt
Organism: Scleropages formosus (Asian bonytongue)
Lineage: Eukaryota; Metazoa; Chordata; Actinopteri; Osteoglossiformes; Osteoglossidae
Exons: 3
Source: RefSeq, a predicted model, not a curated record
GGUCAUCGCCCUUCGUCUCUGUUGCCUUAUCCAGCAUCCACUGGGCAUCUCUGGCGCCCGCCACCAUCUGCCGAGGGACACUUUACUGCCUGGCUGGAAAUGCUGUGCACUCUGUAACAAUGUUCUCUUGCAUCUCUCAAAAACAUGGCACUGCAGAUGUUGCUCAGCUUCCUGGACUUGACUGAGGGCAGCAGAUGUGCCAAGAAGAGCCGAAUCUCUGCGGUGCCAGGUGUGACUGUUCUUUUGCUCCCAGGCCUGCUCUGCCUGCUUUCCUGUUCACUCCGCCUUGAUCGAGUAAUGGAUUAGCCUCCUAGAACCUGUAGGUCAGCUCAGCCAUACCCUCCAUGUCCACGGAGUGAGACGGGAGCAUUAGCCAGCGGAAGGGCAGAAUGAGAGCACACACCUGAACACCUGGGAAAGGCUGGAAGACCCUCACAUCUCUGUAUCUCCUCUUCAUCUCAGGAGCCUGAAGCAGGGAUAGUGUUGCAGCUUCUCCUGAAACACAUCUUGAAAUGCAGCUCCUCCUCCCUGGAAAGAAAGGCCUCCCUUAGCAAGUGGCCUGUUAUGCCUGUUUACUGUGUCCUAAUCUAAAUUGAAUCAUAUGGACAAAACAGUUUCAAGCACAGUAACAGAGCUGAUAUAAAAUAGACAUUUCAAAAAUAGAAAAUGUCUUGUAGGUGUUUACAAUUUCUUCAGCGAGAUAUUUAUUUUAGCUACUAAGGUUAAGGAUGUUGCUAAAUUAAGUGUUUUUACGGAUACCCCCUACUAAUGCUGAAGAACAUGAUAUAUCUCAAUGACUUAAAAAUCACCUGGAGGAGUACUAUUCUAAAAUCCUGACUGAAUGUGUUAGAGAAGACAGCCAGAUCCAUUACCUACACUGCACUACUGUCUGUGUGCUGCACCCAAGUCUGCUAUAAUCCGACUGAUAUUCUACCGCAAGUUACUGACAGGCGGGCACUUGCUCGUUGUAAAUCACUGUUCCUCAGCCAUGUCUCUGAAAACAGGCAAUAGUUCAUCAAUUGCCAAAGUUUUUUGGAAGAACUGACAUCAGCCC